GGAGGGGUAGCAUAGUCUGGCCUAAUGCGCUCGCCUGGAAAGCGGGUACCGGGAUAGUCUCUCGGUCGAGGGUUCAAAUCCCUCUCCCUCCG
Molecule: transfer RNA, 92 nt
Filed under: Chloroflexota bacterium
Lineage: Bacteria; Bacillati; Chloroflexota
Description: Chloroflexi bacterium tRNA-Ser
Rfam family: tRNA
About the family: Transfer RNA (tRNA) molecules are approximately 80 nucleotides in length. Their secondary structure includes four short double-helical elements and three loops (D, anti-codon, and T loops). Further hydrogen bonds mediate the characteristic L-shaped molecular structure. tRNAs have two regions of fundamental functional importance: the anti-codon, which is responsible for specific mRNA codon recognition, and the 3' end, to which the tRNAs corresponding amino acid is attached (by aminoacyl-tRNA synthetases). tRNAs cope with the degeneracy of the genetic code in two manners: having more than one tRNA (with a specific anti-codon) for a particular amino acid; and 'wobble' base-pairing, i.e. permitting non-standard base-pairing at the 3rd anti-codon position.
Source: RNAcentral